RNAcentral lists this ribosomal RNA (251 nucleotides) under uncultured fungus. RNAcentral's name for it is "partial 18S ribosomal RNA". It matches the Rfam family "Eukaryotic small subunit ribosomal RNA", at positions 490 to 753 of the family's 1831-position model. The record is from RNAcentral. Lineage: Eukaryota; Fungi.
GCUCUUUGAGUCUUGCAGUUGGAAUGAGUACAAUUUAAACCCCUUAACGAGUAACAAUUGGAGGGCAAGUCUGGUGCCAGCAGCCGCGGUAAUUCCAGCUCCAAUAGCGUAUAUUAAAGUUGUUGCAGUUAAAAAGCUCGUAGUUGGACUUUAGGCAAGGCGGUCUGGUCGCCCACUGGGUGUACUGGGCUCGCCGCGCCUCACCUUCGGGGAACUAGUUGUGCUUCGGUGCGCUAGGGAACCGAGCCUUA